AAGUCGUAACAAGGUUUCCGUAGGUGAACCUGCGGAAGGAUCAUUACCAAUAUAGCGAACCGAGCGUUAGCGAGGCUUCGCGAUCAAAUUUGUAUUUAAAACCCAACUCUUUAAAUGUAUAUUAUUAUUGUAUUUUAAAUAAUAAAGAUCACUUUCAACAACGGAUCUCUUGGCUCUC
RNAcentral lists this unclassified non-coding RNA (178 nucleotides) under Glomus indicum. Its description in RNAcentral is "partial internal transcribed spacer region". The stretch from base 1 to 46 matches the Rfam family "Eukaryotic small subunit ribosomal RNA", at positions 1786 to 1831 of the family's 1831-position model. RNAcentral also lists the same sequence under 1 other name. The record is from RNAcentral. Lineage: Eukaryota; Fungi; Glomeromycota; Glomeromycetes; Glomerales; Glomeraceae.